This 27-nucleotide transfer RNA is filed under the name Egernia depressa. RNAcentral describes it as "partial tRNA-Leu". Lineage: Eukaryota; Metazoa; Chordata; Lepidosauria; Squamata; Scincidae. The record is from RNAcentral.
CUUUUAAAGGAUCCAAGUCUAUGCCGU